Molecule: ribosomal RNA, 733 nt
Filed under: uncultured archaeon
Lineage: Archaea
Description: bacterial SSU rRNA
Rfam family: Archaeal small subunit ribosomal RNA
Source: RNAcentral
UGCUAGUCGCACGAACUUAGAUUCGUGGCAUAUAGCUCAGUAACACGUGGCCAAACUACCCUACAGACCGCGAUAACCUCGGGAAACUGAGGCCAAUAGCGGAUAUCACUCUCAGACUGGAGUGUCGAGAGUGAGAAACGUUCCGGCGCUGUAGGAUGUGGCUGCGGCCGAUUAGGUAGAUGGUGGGGUAACGGCCCACCAUGCCCAUAAUCGGUACAGGUUGUGACAGCAAGAGCCUGGAGACGGUAUCUGAGACAAGAUACCGGGCCCUACGGGGCGCAGCAGGCGCGAAACCUUUACACUGCACGACAGUGCGAUAGGGGGACUCCGAGUGCGAGGGCAUAUAGUCCUCGCUUUUCUGAACCGUAAGGUGGUUCAGGAACAAGUGCUGGGCAAGACCGGUGCCAGCCGCCGCGGUAAUACCGGCAGCACGAGUGAUGGCCGAUAUUAUUGGGCCUAAAGCAUCCGUAGCUUGCUGUGUAAGUCCAUUGGGAAAUCGACGCGCUCAACGCGUCGGCGUCCGGUGGAAACUGCACGGCUUGGGGCCGAGAGACUCGACGGGUACGUCCGGGGUAGGAGUGAAAUCCCGUAAUCCUGGACGGACCACCAAUGGGGAAACCACGUCGAGAGACCGGACCCGACAGUGAGGGACGAAAGCCAGGGUCUCGAACCGGAUUAGAUACCCGGGUAGUCCUGGCUGUAAACGAUGCUCGCUAGGUAUGUCGCGCGCCAU